GUAAUUCGAUUAACUUACGAAAAAAAAUCUUAACUGGCCAGCUUAUAAAAUACUAAAUGGAGGAUUGAACGGUUUUAGGACCACUUAUUAUGUUAGUUGAAUCAUAUAUUAGAUCGAUUUAAUAGUUUUGUACAUUUUAUAACGAUUUGAGGUGUUGAAUCACGCGCAUUUUAGUUUUCAAUAUUAGAUGAAUAUUUUUAUUAAUGUAGUGAAAUUGAAAUUAAGGGUAACACUCUGGGGAAAAUAUGCACGGGGUGCAAACGCGACGUGACGAGUUCUGAUUGACCCUCUUAUUUUUUCGCCAUUAAAACCCCUUAAGUUGUGUAAUUAACUCGUUCGUCAUCCGAAAAUUUAGCCAUGUUCCCGUCGAAUAUGUUAUUUAACAUCAUCCUCCUUAAAAUUACAACUCACCAUCUUUCUUGAUUAAUUGAGAUUGUCCAUUGAACAUAUUUUCAUCUGUUUGUUAAUUCCCAUAAUCAAUUGAGGCCCCAUCAAUUGAUUUUGUUAGAAAUCGAUCUUCUCGUGCUCGCAGACCUGGGAAGGGUUCUGAUGCUGAACCUGAACCAUCAUCACCUCUUGAUCUUCCUUUACCAAUGAGGAUGUAGCAGACUCACGGUUCCUGCCAAAGACAUGGGGAGGGAUUACGAAGUGGCGCUUCCAAUUCUGAGCGAACCUUGUGGCCCAAAUAAAAUCGGGUUUGGCCUUGAAGCUCCUGCUCAUCCCCAUCUCAUCAAUGUUCUUCUUGCUGCUUCUGGUUUAUCUGUUCAAAGAGAGACAAUGAAACAAAAGAUCAUUAGACAUGAUGAAUACUCCUCCUGGGAAAGCACCAAAAGCAUUGAAUGAGAGGAUUGAAACUAACCAAGAGAGGGGGGAAAUGUGAAGUAGCUAGCAUGAGUUUGUUGUAAAGAAGAAGGAGAAGGUGAGGAAAAAGUUGGGAUGGUGUGUGUCUUGUUAGAAAUUUAGCCUUUGUAUAGCUGUUUGCUGGUUGUUGGCUUUCCCGGUGCAGCUUUUGGAGGCCCAUGUUUUACUUGGUUUGUU
This 1038-nucleotide long non-coding RNA is filed under the name Linum usitatissimum (flax). RNAcentral's name for it is "long non-coding RNA (LUSI_LNC004084)". Lineage: Eukaryota; Viridiplantae; Streptophyta; Magnoliopsida; Malpighiales; Linaceae. The record is from RNAcentral.